RNAcentral lists this ribosomal RNA (216 nucleotides) under Glomeromycotina sp. RNAcentral's name for it is "partial small subunit ribosomal RNA". The stretch from base 87 to 216 matches the Rfam family "Eukaryotic small subunit ribosomal RNA", at positions 733 to 864 of the family's 1831-position model. The record is from RNAcentral. Lineage: Eukaryota; Fungi; Glomeromycota.
GGGUCAGUAGGUUGGUCGUGCCACCGGUACGUACUGGUCUCACUGAUUCCUCCUUCCUGAAGAACCGUAAUGCCAUUAACUUGGUGUUGCGGGGAAACAGGACUGUUACUUUGAAAAAAUUAGAGUGUUUAAAGCAAUCUAACGCUUGAAUACAUUAGCAUGGAAUAAUGAAAUAGGACGAUCGAUCCUAUUUUGUUGGUUUCUAGGAUUGACGUA